This is a long non-coding RNA of Macrobrachium nipponense, 729 nucleotides long. RefSeq lists it as uncharacterized. The record is from RefSeq and is a predicted model, not a curated record. Lineage: Eukaryota; Metazoa; Arthropoda; Malacostraca; Decapoda; Palaemonidae. The transcript has 3 exons.
UAAACCUCCAUAUGAAUGCUAUCCCUAGUCCCUACCUCGGCCCUCACUCGUUGGCAGAGGCAUCAGUGAUUGCUCGGGACGGGAGGAGAGAGGCUGAGUGACAGCACCGGAGAGAGAAAGGGGGUAGUGAGUAAAUGCUGUGUUAAGUUGGUCGGUAGUUUGGUCGUGGGGUCCCAAGCCCUGCUCUCUCUCUCUCUCUCUCCCGAGCAUCAUCCAUGAGUAGAGGAGAACCAGCAACGAAUUAUAUUACUGUGUGGUGAAAGACUAGCUGUGCGCGAUGUCAUUCACGUGUCAGAACUCCCAGAAUCAACAAGCAAGCCCUUAGGAUCCUUAAUCCUUCCUAAGCCGACUUUCAUCUGCAUUCCACGAGUGUGCCAGGACUCCUCAAGCAAAGGACUCUCGUUGCCUUGCCCACUUCGUCGCCAGAGCCGGGAAGAGAACACCAUGGGUGAGAAAGGGCAGUUCCGCCGUCAUAUUCCCGCCGUGAAACUCUGGUUCGUGCUGUGUCUGACGCUCGCAUUUUCGGUGGUCCUGUUGGCUGCAGCCCAUCUGACGCACUCUCUCACACUCAGGGUGGAGGCCUAUCAUGCGCUCUAUAAUCGCUUUCACUCACAGGGUGCUUGCUCACCAUGAAGUUAUGUUCCCGACCUGAGUCGCUACACAACACCUUCGGAUGGGCAAGACUGGAAGUUCUGUCCAUGCUUACUACACUCAUCUUCCUCACGGCAC